Molecule: transfer RNA, 70 nt
Filed under: Anomaloglossus sp. 'Brownsberg'
Lineage: Eukaryota; Metazoa; Chordata; Amphibia; Anura; Aromobatidae
Description: tRNA-Tyr
Rfam family: tRNA
About the family: Transfer RNA (tRNA) molecules are approximately 80 nucleotides in length.
Source: RNAcentral
GGUAAGAUGGCCGAGAGUUAGGCAGCGGGUUGUAGCCCCGAGCAGAAAGGUUAAAGUCCUUUUCUUGUCA